RNAcentral lists this ribosomal RNA (301 nucleotides) under uncultured bacterium. RNAcentral describes it as "partial 16S ribosomal RNA". It matches the Rfam family "Bacterial small subunit ribosomal RNA", at positions 509 to 807 of the family's 1533-position model. The record is from RNAcentral.
CAGUAGCCGCGGUAAUACAGAGGGUGCGAGCGUUAAUCGGAUUUACUGGGCGUAAAGCGUGCGUAGGCGGUUCGUUAAGUCUGUUGUGAAAGCCCCGGGCUCAACCUGGGAAUGGCAAUGGAUACUGGCGAGCUAGAGUGUGUCAGAGGAUGGUGGAAUUCCCGGUGUAGCGGUGAAAUGCGUAGAGAUCGGGAGGAACAUCAGUGGCGAAGGCGGCCAUCUGGGACAACACUGACGCUGAGGCACGAAAGCGUGGGGAGCAAACAGGAUUAGAUACCCGGGUAGUCCCUGUCUCUUAUAC